UACGGAGGGUGCAAGCGUUAUCCGGAUUCACUGGGUUUAAAGGGUGCGUAGGUGGGCAGGUAAGUCAGUGGUGAAAUCUCCGGGCUUAACCCGGAAACUGCCAUUGAUACUAUCUGUCUUGAAUAUCGUGGAGGUAAGCGGAAUAUGUCAUGUAGCGGUGAAAUGCUUAGAUAUGACAUAGAACACCGAUUGCGAAGGCAGCUUGCUACACGAUCAUUGACACUGAGGCACGAAAGCGUGGGGAUCAAACAGG
This 253-nucleotide ribosomal RNA is filed under the name uncultured bacterium. RNAcentral describes it as "partial 16S ribosomal RNA". It matches the Rfam family "Bacterial small subunit ribosomal RNA", at positions 524 to 776 of the family's 1533-position model. The record is from RNAcentral.